RNAcentral lists this ribosomal RNA (498 nucleotides) under uncultured bacterium. RNAcentral describes it as "bacterial SSU rRNA". It matches the Rfam family "Bacterial small subunit ribosomal RNA", at positions 28 to 521 of the family's 1533-position model. The record is from RNAcentral.
GACGAACGCUGGCGGCGUGGAUUAGGCAUGCAAGUCGAACGGUAUCAUCCUUUCGGGGGUGAGAGAGUGGCGAACUGGUGAGUAACACGUAGGUUAUCUACCCUCAAGACGGGGACAACCCAGGGAAACUUGGGCUAAUACCGGAUGUGAGCAACUUUUAGUUGUUUGAAAGGUGGCGUAAGCUGUCGCUUGGGGAUGAGCCUGCGUCCUAUUAGUUAGUUGGUGAGGUAACGGCUCACCUAGGCAAUGAUAGGUAGGCGGCCUUAACGGGUGGUCGCCCACACUGGGAUUGAGAUACGGCCCAGACUCCUACGGGAGCAGCAGUCGAGAAUAGUCUACAAUGGUCGGAAGACUGAUAGUGCGACGCCGCGUGAACGAUGAAUCCCUUCGGGGUGUAAAGUUCUUUUAAUGUGAGCAGUGCUUCUUAUAUUAACAGUAUGGGGAAGAGAUAUUAGCAUAUGAAUAAGCAACGGCUAACUCCGUGCCAGCAGCCGCGGU